UAAUAUGGGCUCCAUAUGAAGUGGUCGGAUUCGCAUCUUGGUAAAGUCAAACAUGAAAUUCCACUCCAAAUCAGACAUGCUGCAUGACUCCGAGAAAUUAUUUUAAAUAUCAUCGCUAUCAGAUCCGGCUGUUUCAUCUACUUUCUUCGUUUCUAUAUUUUUUUUUCUUUUUUUAAUCACACGAGAGAAGUCAGGGAAUAAAGAGAAAGAUAUUUAUGUCAACCAACACUUCGUCAUCGAUUAUUAUUUGAAGGUAUUACAACUUCUGUUUACCUUCAUUACUUUCAAUGUUAGAUUCAGUGUCCAGUUUUGCAACGGAGAUGUUUUCUUUAGAGGUAUUUGAAUCAGAAUAAUGAUCAGAACUUUUGUCAUUAUAAUCAUAGUCAACCGACACUUCGUUAUCUUCCAAAAUUAUGUAUUCUUAAACUACCAAUCAGAGUAGGUAAAAUUUUAUAAAUGUUGUUAACAUAAUAACUCAUUUUUUUUUCACUUACCAGGGCAUGGUGUCUCAUGGUGAACAUUAUAGCGAUUGAAAAAAUUGCUGCAGUUUUUAAGACAUUGUCUGGACAAACUUGGCAAGCCGCGGGACGGGGGCCCAUAUUAGCCCAGCAUUGAGUUCUAAUACGCAAACGGAGACUGUUUUUGAAGGAGCAAGCUUGGUAGCCGUCUUAACAUGCCGGAGCAGCACUCAGCCAUUCUGAUAGACCAGAAGACAGGAAGCAGCACACGCCUCUUAUGGCACGCACGCAAAAGUAUGCAAUUCGGUCCGUACUAUUUCUUGCGUUUGGGAAGAGACAACGGGCAAACUUGAUCUCCUUUAAACGUCCGAUUCUCUGAAAAUAUUUCUCCUAUCACACCUUUUCUUCACCAAACACAGCAUCGUCCCACUGGAGCCCUCUCCCGCCUAGCUCCCGUAGUUUAAUUUUAGCCUUAACAGUCAUCUAGGAGUCUGUCCCUAAAGGGUCAAACAAUCCAGCUACUUGGGCAGCAACCCUACUCUGGUGUAGUUCACAAUGGUCACUUUCAGGUGAUACACCAAAUAUUUAAGCAUCUAAGGCCAAUUGUAAAUCAGGUUGACCAGCAAUAAGAAUAGAUUUACAGACAUAUAAGUUCGCUUACUUUUACCGAUACUUUUAUUAAAGCAAAAAUAGCAAAAGCAGACAAAUUUUUCAUAGUUGUUAUUCUUCAUAUCACUGGUUAAGUGAAAUUUUCACCAGAGUUUUUUAUUUCAAAUGUCUUCCAAUUUUAUGCGUCUCUGAUCUAGAGACAUAAUUCUUUCGAGAUAACAACCCUAAAAAACGUUCCUCAAUAAAAGUUACAUUGGGAGGGUUUAAAAAAUAAAUUUAUGAUUUUACAUGCGUGUACCCACCAAUUCAAAAGAAUUGCCAACUACAGAUGAAAUAGGAAAUUUUUUCAA
This is a long non-coding RNA of Daphnia pulex (common water flea), 1417 nucleotides long. RefSeq lists it as uncharacterized. The transcript has 2 exons. The record is from RefSeq and is a predicted model, not a curated record. NCBI's taxonomy places the organism in Eukaryota, Metazoa, Arthropoda, Branchiopoda, Diplostraca, Daphniidae.